This 200-nucleotide ribosomal RNA is filed under the name uncultured bacterium. RNAcentral describes it as "partial 16S ribosomal RNA". It matches the Rfam family "Bacterial small subunit ribosomal RNA", at positions 8 to 209 of the family's 1533-position model. The record is from RNAcentral.
AGAGUUUGAUCCUGGCUCAGAAUCAACGCUGGCGGCGUGCCUAACACAUGCAAGUUGAGCGCGAAAGGGGGGCAACUCCCGAGUAGAGCGGCGAACGGGUGAGUAACGCGUGGGUGAUCUACCUUCGAGUGGGGAAUAACACCGGGAAACUGGUGCUAAUACCGCAUGACAUCCCGGGGUCAAAUCCGGGAUCAAAGCCG